GGGCCCGCACAAGCGGUGGAGUAUGUGGUUUAAUUCGAUGCAACGCGAAGAACCUUACCAGGGUUUGACAUCCUGCGAAUCUCUUGGAAACAGGAGAGUGCCUUCGGGAACGCAGUGACAGGUGGUGCAUGGCUGUCGUCAGCUCGUGUCGUGAGAUGUUGGGUUAAGUCCCGCAACGAGCGCAACCCACGUCUUUAGUUGCCAGCAUUUAGUUGGGCACUCUAGAGAGACUGCCGGUGAUAAACCGGAGGAAGGUGUGGAUGACGUCAAAAUCAUCACGGCCCCUUACGUCCCUGGGCUACACACGUGCUACAAUGGUAGGGACAGAGAGCAGCCACUUCGUGAGAAGGAGC
RNAcentral lists this ribosomal RNA (353 nucleotides) under uncultured bacterium. Its description in RNAcentral is "bacterial SSU rRNA". It matches the Rfam family "Bacterial small subunit ribosomal RNA", at positions 917 to 1268 of the family's 1533-position model. The record is from RNAcentral.